Long non-coding RNA from Prinia subflava (tawny-flanked prinia), 7295 nucleotides. RefSeq lists it as uncharacterized. The record is from RefSeq and is a predicted model, not a curated record. The transcript is spliced from 4 exons. Lineage: Eukaryota; Metazoa; Chordata; Aves; Passeriformes; Cisticolidae.
CCGGGCCACCAGCGCUAGGAGGUGGAGGAGGAGGAGGAGACGGAGGAGGAAGGCUGCCCCGGGAUGCGCCACCUGCCCCUAAAGGGCGGGCUUCGCCGGAGCUGGGGCAAGGGACCUCCCUGGGAGAGGAGCUGCCCUCCUUCCACGGCCGCCGCCUUCCCUGACGAGAAACACCCGGGGUUCCGGCUCACGGGGCGGCGAGUAGAGAGCAGCCCCCGGCACCGAGGGAGGGAGAAAGGACGGGAGAUGCGCGUUGGGGCGUGGGAAGUGUCCGGGCUCUCCAGGGCGCUCCCUCAGCCCCUCCCCGCUCGGUCCUGUAGCCCUGCCCGCACCCCGUCCGGGCCCGCAGCAGCGCUGCACCUGCGAGCUCCUAUGGUGCUCUUCCCGUAUCGCCUGCAUCCCCUAACUAAAGCGCUGUCGUGCCGCGUUUCUUCCCAUUGCACGUGCAAUGGGAGUGUAGAGCACUGAAAGAAAGAAUAAGAAGCUCAGGUCGACCCUGUCUAACUGGUGCAAGUUCAUAAAUGCAGAUGUCAAAAUUACUUUAGUCUUUCCAAGCUGCCUGCUAGUGACCAAAUGGCAAAAAUUAAGAAUUUCCAUGGAGUUCUUGCUGGUAGUUGUAGAGAGUGAUAAGGGCCUUGCUGAGCCUCCUUUCCUCCAGGCUGAACAAUUUCAGCUCUCUCAACUACUCCUCACAAGACGUGUGCUCCAGACCCUUCAUCAGCUCUCUUGACCUUCUCUGGACAUGCUCCAGGACCCAAAUGCCUUUCUCUCCAUCGAGGGGCCGAGCUCUGAGCACGGGGUUCAAGGUGUGGCGUCACCACUGACAGGUGAAAGUUGCCACCUCAGAGAAUGGAUACAGAAGAACAGAAGGUGAAUGGCAGUACUGGUAAGCCUAUAACUCUAACACCUCUAUGUUCUUUAGUACCCUGCAUUACUGUGGCCCACUAGGAGGUACAAGGGUGCCUGUUCUUUUUUUAUCUGGCACUUAAGAAUAGGUAGAUUUACUAGGAUAUCUCAAAAAUCUGAAGUAAAGCUUUUGGCUGUAGGAUUAUUGCCAGUUUUUGUCAAUAUGCUGAAAUAUAAUGACUGUGCUGUAAAGGGUUUCGAUCUUUUUUAUGGUGGUGUAUGUAAUUGUCAGGGAACACCUAAUGUGAAGUACAGAGAGAGUUCAUGAUUUAAGUGUGUGAGCCUUGAUAUAUUAUAUUCUUUUGUAUAACAAAUUUGCAGAAUUUAAGGAUUAUAUAUUUAUAGUUUUUAAAAAUAGGUAUAUAUUAGGCAAAUAGACUGACUCUGGCUGUGUUAAAAUAAUUUCCUGCACGGAAUGGCAAGUAAGAUGAUACAUAUCCAAUAAUUUUUGCAUUCCUUUCAGCAUUGAUUCCUUUACUCCAGUGAAUCUGAGCAUGAAGUGUGAUUUAGAUAGAUACAUGUUGUGAAGAUAUAGGGAAGCCUAAGAAAGGCUUCCUUAGAAACAUUCCUGUGUAAGUCUCCUCUCCUGGGUUGCAAUGCUGCUUUCUGCUUGGAAUUUAUUAUGUCUUUAAUUUCAUACUGUAUACUGGUUGUGCUGCAACUUUAUCCUAUUCAGCUAUGGUAUCAAUCUGUUUUUGAAAAGCUAUGCACUUAUGAAAGUGCAUUGAAAUGCAGGAGCAUUGGGAGGAACUGUUGUUAUGUGGCAUUAUGGGUGUUUAAAAAGAAGUGGAAGAAGAAAUACACUUCUACUAUGCAGUGGGAUCAAUAUUUUGAUGAAUUUUAUGGGAAGUGAGGCUUUCCAUAGAGAAAGCUUAUCUUAACCUUCUUUUAAUUUCCAGUGCCUUAUGGGAGCUACGUGGUUCUUUUUACACUUAGGCACGUUCCCUUGUGGAAAUAUUCCCUGAAUAUAAUGCAGACAACUUCUGCUACUCCUGUAUGGAAUCCACUGCUCUGCUUCUUCACAUAGCAGCUACCAAGCUGGUUUGGCUGUGUUAGGCUUUAUCCACAUGUACAGCUGGAGAGGUAAAGUGCAAACUUGCAUGGAGAGGGAAACUGGUAUUGCCAAGUAAGGUAGUAAGCAAUACUAGAUAGAUACCUUUUGUGUCUUUCUAAUAUCCACAUACACCAAAAAAAUUAAUUAUGUCACAAGGUCACUGAAUAUUAAUCAACACUGUCCCCAUGGGUGUACUCCAAAGGCAGGUAAUUUUUUAGAUAAAAGAAGCUUGAUUAUGGGCUUUGACACCAUCAGAUGAAAAGAGAAGUGAUUCUAUUUAUUAUAGUGUCUGUCUCAUCUUCUCUGCUUAUUACUUUUAGAAAUAAUCCUGGAAAAUAAUAAAAAAAUAAUCUGUUUACUUAUCCAGGAUGAAGUUAUUUUUAUACUCCUCACAGAGUGUCAUUCAAUCUAAAAUGAUUAAUCUUUGCUUGUUUGCCGAAAUUUUUCUAAGUUUUGCUCUUCCACCUGUUUGUUUAGUCAUUGAUAGCUGUUCACUCUCCCAAUGUGUCAUCUGACCCAGCAGGUCUGGGUUUUUCAAACAUCAGCAUUAUUCAACAGUACUUUCUUUCAUACUUCCAAAGUAUUGGUGCUUCUGUGAUUUUAUCCCUGGUUAAAAUGAAAAUGCCUUUUUAUACUCGUUAAUUUCAGCUGCUUCUAGGCCAUAGUCCUGCUACUUAAAUUGGACUUUUCCUCUAUUCCGUAUUAUAGACUUCUGUCCUUUGCCCUUAUUUUUAGUGAUACCAAGUGAAAAUAGAAAACACAUUCCAAAUGUCCCACCUUUGCUCUGUGCAUUCAGAAUUAGGCCAUGAAGAUGAUACAUACUGUACUUGGUAUAGUUUUGGAUCAAACUUUCCAUUAAUCAUUUGACUUCUGGGAUUAUUGUACAGACUAACUGUUAGUUUUCAACAGAAUGAAAAUUGCUGAAUCCAAAAAGGAAUUUUCAAGAAAUCACCUUUUUUUGUGACCUUCAACAGACACCUACAUGGGAAAGAGUUAUUCUUGUGCAUAUUCAGGCUUUAGCACCGAUGGGUUGUUUAUGAUUUACAUAAAGGCAAAAGAAAAACAAGACAGCGAUUCCAUCAAUUUCAAACGAGCCUGUUUUUGAUGGGCUGGGUGCCAGUGGAUCUGCAGCCAGGCACACCAGCAAAGGAGCCCUUCCCUGGUGCUGUGCAGAGGAGCGUGAAAUGAAUGGGGACCUUGCUUUGUUAAAACUCUGACACAGACUAAUGUUUUUUUGAAAAGUGCAGUCCUGACAGCUCUGAAAAUGUGAUGUUCCUGCUCUCAGCUCCAGAGGAGAGUGCUGUAGGAGAGCUUCCCAACAUUCAUUAGCCAGUCUGCAUCAAAACUGCUGUCUGAGGAAUAUCCUGGUCUUUAGACAUGUUUGCAGUGAGGUCUCUGCUGAGGCCUCUGCUGAAGGUUGCACUUAUUAUCUGCAGUGUUGGGAAGUGUGUAUUUGACAGGUAGUGGACUGCAUCCACUGGCUCUCUAAACAGCUUUCAGUGUGACAGCAACUUCACUUUAGUUUCUUGGAAAAUACUUCAUUUCUCACAAAAGAAACCUCAAAAUAAAUACAAAAACUUCAAAAGAAAAUCUUUGAGGUGUGUAAGAUAAGGGGUUUUUUUGGUCUUAAGUUACUAUUUUAAAAAUGUAUUCCUGCAAAUGGUUAAUAUAUAUAGAAGAAUUGUUCAUGGGCUGAAGCAGGCCCGAAAAUCCUGGUGGGCAGUUAGUAUGGGCCUGUAGGCUCUCCGGUGUUCUUAAUGCUUCCAGACUUUCCAGGCACGGUCUCAACACCCCUUUGUUCACUCUGGGCAAUGGUGUAGGACCUUCUUCAUUACACACAAGGUAACAAAAGCUUUCUGGGAUGCAAUAUUCAUUUGGAGUAAGGGGCAUGACACCCUCACACAGGCUCUGCCCUGAUGUUCCUAAUAGCAAAACCCGACCUCUGAGUUCUGUGGGGUGCAGCACACAAAGUGUUUGGCCCAGGAGGGGAGUUUGUAGAUGGUGUGUCAACAGCAGUGGCAGGUAACCCACAGAGACACACUGCAGCAGAAAUGUGAACUUCCUGUGUUGCAGCAGUGAAAUAGUGUCAAAGGCCUUUUAGGGAACUGGCCAGACAAGCUGAACUUGUGUGUGCUUCCAGCAGGCAGAGGAGAGAUGCUGAACACAUGCUGCCUGCCAUCAGCAGCCCUGUGGUUGCCAAGAAUUGCAGCUACCCAUUACAUAAACCAUCACACAGUACACAUCAUGCAGCCAGACACAGUGUUUGUGUGUGAAUGGCUCUGCGUAGGUAUGUGGGGAAGUUCACGCAUGUUAACAGGUUCAUAUUUUAAAUUUAGUACUAAAAGUUAGGCUCUUUUAUAGCCUGAAGUUGUCACCAAGAGAGAAUAUUCACUUCUUUUUUGAAAUGGAGGGAGAAAAAUGGAGGUGGAUGCGGCAUGAUAGAGCAAAUUUGUCCUGUUGGAGAAGGCUCAAGUACAGAUUCUGUGUUGUCAAGACCAAAGAGCAGCUCUGGUUCUCCUACAACACUAGUAGGCAUGUCACUAUUUUAACCCUUAGAAAACUGGCUGGCUCACAGCAAAAUAACAGUAGAUCUUUCCAAACCAUCUCUGUGAAUGUGAUAAUUUAAUUCAAACAGUGUAAAGCAAUUAGUCUGUAUAAAGAACUUAAAAUAGACAAAGCUAUUUUUUUUUAAGUAGCUAUUUCUAGCUCAUUAGGCACAGAAAUGUCCUUUACACUCAGCUUUUUGACUGCACUCCAUCAAUUCAGCCCAAUCAACAGAUUUUCUCAAUCUAGAAACAAAGCAAAAUGAAACAAGGGAAGUUAAGCAGUGAGUAGAUCAGUCAUCUCUGCUCAGCUUUCAAGGCUGCUAUAAAUGGGGUUUUUUCAGUUACGACAUGCUGAAAACAAUAAGCCACCUGAAAACUAUGGCUGUGAUUUUAACAGCUGCAUUAUAUUCAAGAAAAUUGAAAAUCCUCUUCUUAAAAUACAACUUUAUCCAACUGUUCUGUGUGUAUUUUCAGGCCUAAAUUGCUAUUCUGCUGAGAAUUGGGAAAAAAGUUUCUUUAAUUGGUUAAAAAAAGAACUCUUCCCAGCAUUGAUCCAUCUUAGUAUGAAGAGGAAUAGCCUGGCACAUCAUAGUCAGCAAAAAAGACUAAAACACCUGCUCUCAGUCAUACCACAGUAUUUAUUUCAGAAGCUGUUACCUAUUAUUUUAUAUAAAGUAUAUGCUUCUAUAGGCCUGGGGGUAGUUGAAAAUAUUUCAUUGUUACGGCUAUUCUGCCAGAUGUCUUUUUCAAAAAGGCCAAGCAGUGCUAAAGUGUCUGGACUUUCAGAGCAGGCAGGACUGAUGGAAUAUAUUAUCCCACAUUUUUAUGGCAAUGGAUGGAUUUUCCUUGUCACAGGCAACGUAUGCUUUCUGCAUUGCUGGGGACAGUGGCAGAUUUUUUAAAUUAACAUUUGAAUCUAUUAUUUAUGAGUGCAUUCCCUGAUGUCUGAAUCUGAGGGCAAGCCCUGCUGUGCUUGACGUGGUCUCUCACAAGAGGGCUUGAAAGACCUCCACUGUACAAGUGGAGAGACCUGAGACUUUCUGCUUGACUGCUCCUGCCUGUCAGGCAAGGACAAGCAUUCAGGGACUAAAGAUUUCUCAGUUCCCAACGUCCUUGACCCAAACGUAGUUUUCUAAGGAGAAUCACGUGUUAGCUCACUGCUAGUUCCUAAACAUGCAGAUGUUAACAGAAGACCUUGUUGUUAAGGCAGGCCCUUUUGACACCAGGAGCAGCAUAAGGCUGUGAAUUUCUGACAAGCUGCUCAACCAGCACAUCAUGCUUGGGGCGACAGGCAUAUCCAGCCAAGAAAACCACUCUGCAGUUUUGCACUUCCUCCAAUAUAUACCCACCAGCAGCAUCAGUACUCCUGACUUGGUGGUGCUGACAGGGCUGGAAAACCUAUCAAUGCAGGCACUCAGAAGGCAGCUCUCUCCACACACAGUUUCCCUCCUACACAACGAAGGAGAAGGCAAUUACAGCUGUUUGGAUCUGAAUAUUUUAUCCUGAAUAAUUAUGAGAGUAAGGCAUACGUUAAACACGUGGCAAAUAAUCUACAUUUUCUGUGGACAGAAGACUUUUAAAUUUCCAACAAAUUUACAAAUUAUUUUCUGUCACGAGCAUUUAAAAAUGUUUUGUAAGAAAUAUACCUAAUGCCACAGGAUUUAUAUUUUAAAAGUCUUUCUGUAAUUUAUUUAAAUUUCUGUUCUCUUGCUCGGUUUUCUAGAGCAAAAUGAUAGUUGUAUCUCUACACAGAUGAGCUAUGCUUCUGGUGUUUUACCAUCACUGAAGAACUGCUUGAAGAUAAUCAUGUGUGGCUUUUAGGCACAGAAUUCAAAAGCACGAAUGCAUGUGUGAGACUGAAUGUGACUGCUAUAAAACAGUGAACUAUGGAAAUGAUAUAGUAGUUUUGCACAACCAAAGGAAAGGUCAAAGUACUUACAAAAGUACUUACAACCCUACCUAUGCUACCAAGUAUGUAUGUAAUGAAUGUAAAUAUAAAAAGGGAAAGAAUUGUUCAACAAAAAUAAACUGAAGCAGUUGAAUAUUGACUUAUUUUUAAUAGGAAAUACAAAGCUUUCUUCCCAACCCAAGAAUUAGACACAGUCUUGUCCAUCAAUGGCAGUUAUGUGCAGUUCUUAUGUAGGCAGCUAAAUCUGCUCAAUGCUGUUUCCUAUAUGCAAGCAGAUAUAAAUCUGGUUAUAAAUGGCUCUGGAUAUAAAUGCAUGUUGGCAUCCAAGAUCAUUUGGACUCUUCCAAUUCAAAUUUCAGAAAAGGUAUUGCAGUUCUCAGAAAGGAAUUGCAGUUUUUCAUGGGCUUUAUAUGUUACAAGUGACCAAAUACACUGACCUUUCUGAAGCAACUUCUGGAAAAUACACAAGGGGCUUCAUCCAUCAGCAGUGGACUUCAUUCAAGGUUUGCAACAAAGCUCAGUACUUUUUUUGACCUCUAAAAGCAAUUUUUUAUCAAUCUAUGAAUGAUGAUUUAAUACUUGUAAUACAUAUUAUAAUGUAUAUCAUGUAAUACUUGUUUUUGGGAAGGGUGACUUGAAGAGGCAUGGACCUGUUUCCUUCCUAUUAAUUAAUAGGAGGUUUGUUUAUAAAAAUUAAAAGCUAUAUUAAAAAAUGUAAUUAUACUAUCAAUAAUCAAUGGAAGUGUAACUUCUGGAUUUUACAUAAUCAUUAUAUAUGUGAUUCUGACUGCUGGGUUACUAAACUGUUUUGCUGUUCAUGUACUUUUUAUUGUGUUGAAUGAUAAAUUGUACCUAUGAUCAUAAAAUAAAUUCACUUUUC